This 321-nucleotide unclassified non-coding RNA is filed under the name uncultured fungus. RNAcentral describes it as "partial contains 5.8S ribosomal RNA and internal transcribed spacer 2". The stretch from base 1 to 133 matches the Rfam family "5.8S ribosomal RNA", at positions 22 to 154 of the family's 154-position model. Lineage: Eukaryota; Fungi. The record is from RNAcentral.
UGGUUCUGGCAUCGAUGAAGAACGCAGCGAAAUGCGAUAAGUAAUGCGAAUUGCAGAAUUCCGUGAGUCAUCGAAUCUUUGAACGCACAUUGCGCCCCUCAGUAUUCUGGAGGGCAUACCUGUUCGAGCGUCAUUAUCAACUAUCAAGCUAGGCUUGCUAUUGGGUGCUGAUCGUUAAGAGAUCGACCCUAAAGACAGAUAACGGUGUGAGGUUGGACGCCUGAUGCAAUGAGCUUUACAGCACGCAUCGGUUGAAGGCUUUACCCCAGUUUAACCGUAACUUACAGAGUUGACCUCGGAUCAGGUAGGAUUACCCGCUGA